Molecule: RNA transcript, 1877 nt
Organism: Sceloporus undulatus (fence lizard)
Lineage: Eukaryota; Metazoa; Chordata; Lepidosauria; Squamata; Phrynosomatidae
Gene: TXNDC5
Gene name: thioredoxin domain containing 5
Exons: 11
Source: RefSeq, a predicted model, not a curated record
CGGGCCUGGGGCGGAGGCUGAGGAGGAGAGCGAGAGACGUGGAGGCGGUGGCGGGCCGGCAUCUCCUCCUCCUCCUUUCUCAGCCUCCUUCCACAACCGCCGCCAUGGCAGCCACUCUCCGCCCCGCCGCCGCCUUCGUGGCCUUGCUUCUGCUGCUGGGCUGCCUCGUUGUUUCGUGGGGGGCUGAGGCCGAGCAGGAGGAGCAGGAGGGCGUCGAGGAAGAGGACCCCCACGCGCGGCACCUCUACACGGCCGAGAUGCUCCGCCACGGCGCCCUCAGCGCCCCGCACUUCGUCAUGUUCUUCGCCCCUUGGUGUGGACACUGUCAGCGUUUGCAGCCAACUUGGAAUGAACUUGCAGACAAAUACAACAGUGUGGAAAAUCCACAAGUCUACGUCGUGAAGGUGGAUUGCACUACAGAUACUCCACUAUGUUCUGAGUUUGGUGUCAAAGGAUAUCCAACUCUAAAACUACUUAGACCUGGCCAAGAAGCUGCAAAAUACCAGGGACCUAGAGAUUUUCAGUCACUGGAGAACUGGAUGCUGGAGACACUAAAAGAGGAAUCUAGUGAAGAAGAAUCUGAACCAGAGCCUCCCAAAGCCCCUGAAUCAAGGCAAGGGCUAUAUGAGAUUUCAGAAGCCAAUUUCAAACUACAUACAUCAGAAGGCAAUCACUUUAUCAAAUUCUUUGCCCCUUGGUGUGGUCACUGUAAGGCAUUGGCACCAACUUGGGAACAGUUGGCUCUUCUCCUUGAAAAUUCAGAAUCAGUCAAGGUUGGCAAGGUGGACUGCACACAGCAUUAUGAAGUCUGCUCAGCUAACCAAGUGCGUGGUUAUCCAACCCUGCUUUGGUUCAGAGAUGGAGAAAAGGUUGACCAGUAUAAAGGAAAAAGAGAUCUGGACUCUUUGAAAGAAUAUGUAGAUUCCCAGUUACAAAAUUCAAAAGAAGCCUCGGAUGAUGUUAAGCCCACUGAAGCACCACCACCACCCAGGGAGAUCACUCCUGAGGAAGAGGGCAAGGUCCUUUCGCUUUCUGAAAAAGACUUUGAUGAAGAAGUUGCUAAAGGAAUCACCUUCAUCAAGUUCUAUGCUCCAUGGUGUGGUCACUGCAAAAACCUGGCUCCUACAUGGGAAAACCUCUCAAAAAAGAAGUUUCCAGUACCUAUGGAUGUCAAGAUAGCAGAAGUAGACUGCACCGCUGAACGCAAUGUCUGCAAUAGAUUCUCUGUGCGUGGCUACCCGACACUGAUGCUUUUCCGUGGUGGGGAGAAGGUCAGCGAACACACUGGAGCCAGAGAUCUCGAAACAUUGCAUAACUUUGUUCUGCGACAAGCAAGAGAUGAACUGUAAAAAACACCCUAUUUGGUUGCAGCUUCUGUAGCUGUGUAUGUCCAGUGAAACAAGGGAGUUGACUCAUGAUAAUGUUACUGGAUUUCCAAUAAUGAUUGGAUUCUUUAUAACUGGUGAGGGCAUCACAUCUUCAGAGCAACAGGUUAGGGAAAGCUGCAUAUUGCCAUUUGUCUCAAAUGGAGGAGUUCAGCUAAUAAUAGCCAUGUCUGCAUUUUUACCUUUGUACUGUAGUUUUAUCCUUUCUAUUGGAUGCCAUGGAUUUGUUCCAGGACAAAUUUGGGGGGGAGAGGGAGAGCGAAAGAUGGAAUGUCUACCAAAGGGCUAAUCACAUAUGGCAGAUCUAUUGCAUCAACACACAUGUUUCUGCCUUAAAGGGAUCCUUUAUUCAUGAUGGCUUUUUAAAAACCUAACAAAGCACAAUCUCAUGAGCAGGCUGAGCUGUAACUCAUGAGUUUCCUGUACAAAAUCAAGUGGUACAAUUGUUUACACAAGCAAUUUCUGAAUAAAAUUAUCUUUUUUUAACAAAAA